UGUUGGAUGAAUUGACAUCUAUCAGCUCAUUGGUCCUCAGAGUCCAUUCUUUCACUAACCUGAUUGGUGGGGUGGGUAUCUCUUGCCUUCCUCUCUAUACCAUGUGUGUCUUUUACUCAACCAAAAAGGAUUACCUUUCUUCAUGGAAGAGGACCUUUUUGUACAGGGUAUAUGAAUUAAGACUUUCUUCUGAAAUUUCCAAACAAAGUUUUGAAGCCACAAGCUAGAGUAAUUAAAGUUGAAAUAAUUUUCUUGUUAGGUCACUAAAUCUGAAUGUAGACUUUAAUU
Molecule: small nuclear RNA, 288 nt
Filed under: Tupaia belangeri chinensis (Chinese tree shrew)
Lineage: Eukaryota; Metazoa; Chordata; Mammalia; Scandentia; Tupaiidae
Description: Tupaia chinensis (Chinese tree shrew) 7SK RNA
Rfam family: 7SK RNA
About the family: 7SK was discovered as an abundant small nuclear RNA in the mid-70s but a possible function has only recently been suggested. Two independent studies have found that 7SK RNA binds the CDK9/cyclin T complex (known as elongation factor P-TEFb). P-TEFb activates transcription by phosphorylating the C-terminal domain of RNA polymerase II.
Source: Rfam by way of RNAcentral